ACCGAAGGCAGACGUGUAAUUUGUAAAUAUUGAAUGUUUGCUCUUGAUUGUUGGUAUUACUUAUUGAUUUAUCUUCCGCCAAUGUUUGUCAAUGGCGGACACUAUAGCGCAGUGGAAAAGCAAAUCAGUGCGAGUGAACGAGGUCAUAAUUGCACCAUUGCUGUACUUCGUUGUAAAUGCUCUUAAUCCUCAAAUUUUUUUACUGUAUUGCUUCAACCUGCUCCCAGAACAUCCAGACUUGAUCUAAUUUAUAAAAGUACAUUUCCUAAACUGUGCGACUGACAAACGAACACGGAAUCUCAUUUACGCCAAAUUGCAUUAUGGAGGAUAAGCAAGCUGAAAUGUACUAGACAUCAAAAAAACGACAAUGGACUAGUCACAUAGCUCGAAGAACCGACAACCGAUGAGUAAAAUAGGUUCUUGAGUGGUGACUUCGUAAGGAUAGACGCAGUGCAGGACGAACCCCUACUGGAUGGAGUGACGAUCUCAAAUGUAUUGCAGAGAGUCAGUGGAUGGAGGUGGCUCAGGACCAUUCCUUAUAGGAGAGAAGGCUCAUGUUCAGCAGUGGAUAGAUAAUAGCUGAGAUGAUGAUAAUGAUGAUGAUGUUGAUGAACAGAAUCGCAACUUUGCAACACGGCUGUUUCGCAACAAAAAUACGAAUGGAACAAAGAUACGCAUGCAGACGACUUUAGUGUUAAAAAAAAAAUAAGAAAAAUCUUUCCAAUUCGCUACCCACACCAGCUAAAAACCGCCACUGCUAUCGCGAAAUAAUUAAAUAUGGCAAUUGUGCAUUGUUUCCCACUAUUACGUCAUUAAUUAAUGCAUGUUGUGGAGAUAAAAGAAACAAAGGUACCGACAGGGCGCCAUUACGGUGACGACGUUCGAUUGUAACUUGAAUAAAUUGUAUCUACAAGGCACAUCAAAGUAAACUACACGGAAAAAUCGAUUACUCAAUAAUCGAUUAUAAAUAUUCGAAUAAUCAGUAGUAAAGAAAAAUUUGAGUGCGGAAAUGG
Long non-coding RNA from Galleria mellonella (greater wax moth), 1013 nucleotides. RefSeq lists it as uncharacterized. Lineage: Eukaryota; Metazoa; Arthropoda; Insecta; Lepidoptera; Pyralidae. The transcript is spliced from 3 exons. The record is from RefSeq and is a predicted model, not a curated record.